Molecule: non-coding RNA, 129 nt
Organism: Paramuricea clavata
Lineage: Eukaryota; Metazoa; Cnidaria; Anthozoa; Malacalcyonacea; Plexauridae
Source: the annotation of a GenBank genome assembly
UAAAAGGGCUUUUACCGUCAAUGGUACGUCGGUCUGGAGACGGAUCGGCGCGGAAUCGCCAUCAAGAGAUUUCGGAAGCGUAAUGUUUGGAAACUUGUGGCAGUUGGUCGCCAAUGCGCCGACGCCCAC